RNAcentral lists this ribosomal RNA (827 nucleotides) under uncultured bacterium. Its description in RNAcentral is "bacterial SSU rRNA". It matches the Rfam family "Bacterial small subunit ribosomal RNA", at positions 55 to 849 of the family's 1533-position model. The record is from RNAcentral.
AUGCAAGUCGAACGCGGAAAGUUUCCUUCGGGAGACCGGUAGAGUGGCGCACGGCCUUUUUAACACGUGGGUAAUUUACCUUUGGGUGGGGAAUAACAGUCGGAAACGACUGCGUAAUACCGCAUAAUGCAGCGGCAGCUCAUGCUGACAGUUGUUAAAGCGGGGGAUCUGCAAAGACCUCGCGCCUAAAGAGAAGCCCGCGGCGGAUUAGCUAGUUGGUGAGGUAAUGGCUCACCAAGGCGUCGAUCCGUAGCCGGCCUGAGAGGGCGGUCGGCCGCACUGACACUGAAUAACGGAUCAGACUCCUACGGGAGGCAGCAGUCGGGAAUUUUGGGCAAUGGGCGCAAGCCUGACCCAGCAACGCCGCGUGAAGGAUGAAAUCUUUCGGGAUGUAAACUUCACAAGAACGGGAAGAAUAAGUAAGUGUAAAUAUCACUUAUGAUGACGGUACUGUUUGUAAGCUCCGGCUAACUCCGUGCCAGCAGCCGCGGUAAUACGGGGGGAGCAAGCGUUGUUCGGAUUUACUGGGCGUAAAGGGCGCGUANGCGGCNCAACAAGUCACUUGUGAAAUCUUCAGGCUUAACCUGAAGCGGCCAAGUGAUACUGUCGUGCUANAGUGCGGAAGGNGCAACUGGAAUUCUUGNUGUANCGGUGAAAUGCGUAGAUAUCAAGAGGAACACCUGCGGCGAANGCGGNUUGCUGGGCCNACACUGACNCUGAGGCGCGAAAAGCUAGGGGAGNGAACGGGNAUUAGAUACCCCCGGNAGUCCUAGCCCUUAAACGAUGAAUGCCUUGGUGUCCGAGGUUANAUAGUCCUCGGGUGCCGU